Branchiostoma belcheri (Belcher's lancelet) is the source of this 340-nucleotide long non-coding RNA. RefSeq lists it as uncharacterized. The record is from RefSeq and is a predicted model, not a curated record. The transcript has 3 exons. NCBI's taxonomy places the organism in Eukaryota, Metazoa, Chordata, Leptocardii, Amphioxiformes, Branchiostomatidae.
ACAAACGAGAACCAAGAAACAGCUACUGAAUAUCCUUUUGUUUUCUAGAGAUCUCCAGGAAAAAGUACAAGAUAAAGGCAAUGGCAGUGUUACAAAUAGAUCGAAAAAUACACCCGUGGAGAAGGCGCCUGAUGGGCAAAAAAGGAAGAAUCAUUCUUAUUACAAAUGGGUACCAGGGGAGUUAGCUGCUACGAAGAAGUUCAAGGCCGACCAGAAAGCCGUGCAGUCCAUACCCACAGUUGCACCUGGGUGGGUCUACAACAAGACAGCUGCUGAUUUGUUUCGGAAACAGAUAAAACACGGCAAUCACAUUAAAAACGGAGAUUUUCUGACAACACAA